RNAcentral lists this long non-coding RNA (3208 nucleotides) under Pan troglodytes (chimpanzee). RNAcentral describes it as "lincRNA". The record is from RNAcentral. Lineage: Eukaryota; Metazoa; Chordata; Mammalia; Primates; Hominidae.
GUGCUCGUGCCAUGUGCCUGUCAGUUCUGCAAGCAUUUAUUGGAUGUGAAGGUUGGUGUGAUGACCACGCUGCCCACAACAGGCAAAAGAGUGCAGACAGCUGAGGCUCCUCACUUCCCGCUCCAAAGCUCAGAACCUCCCUUCCCUCCUGGAUCCAACAGAAGCAGUGGCCACUGCUGCCUGUGCCUCUCAAACUUGUCACCCACGGAUGCUGGGAAAAAUGCACAUAAAAUGACUGGAUGGAGAUGACCCAGGAAGGGGCCCUGUUGCCCAGGAAAUGGGCUUGUCCUGAACCACAGCUUGAAGGAGAACCACCGACUGAUCAGGAAUACCCAACUGGACUUUAUUCCAGCAACAUACAAAGCAUUACUGUGCUGGGCCAUGGUAUAUUCUUGGGUUUCUUUUAUUAGAACACUUGGCAUUACCUUCACUAAUAUACACUCAUCAGAGUAGACAUUUUCACUAGUUAUAGAUGAUAUGCACUAUUUUCCCUUCUGAAACAGAAAUUUGCAGCAGCACUGCCAAAGGACAAUAGAUUUUUAAAAAUCAUAGAAUGACUGGAGUUCAUGUCUCUGCAAAGAACAUCUAAGCCCUAAGCCAUCCAGAGUGGAUGAGGCAUCUCUGCAUGAGUUAAAUUACACACUCCAGCUGCUGUAACCAAGAAUGAGUUUCACAGUGGUCAAAACGACAUAGAAGUUUAGUUCUCAUGCAUGUAACAGUCCAAAUGCAGCUCCACAGUGGCAAGGAGCCAGCGUCCUUUCUCUUGCUGUCCUGCUGUGCUCAACAGGUGGCUUCUGUCUUUGAGUCCCACGUGGCUGCUCUGGCCCCAGCCAUCAUUUCUAUACUCCAGCAGGUGGCAAGUGGGAAGAAGAAAGGGAGAGCUUAUGCCUUUCACUUUAGGGACACUUGGCCUAGUGCUGCUCACAUCACCCUGCUCACCUUGUGUUGGGACCAGAAUCUAGUCACAUGGCAGCAAAUAGCUGUGAGGAAUAUUGGGAAAGGUUGUCUUUGGCUACUUGGCCUCAUGACCAUCGGAAACUGCUGUACUACAAAAGGUGGGUUCUGAUCAUCUUAGUUGGGAAUGCUGUGACAAAUGACCAUAGCCUGGGGGCUUAAACAACAAACAUUUAUUUCACACAGUCCUGGAGGCUGGAGAUCCAAGAUCAAAAUGCUGGCUGGCUUGGUGUCUGGUGAGGGCUUGCAGAAAGCCACUUGUUGUAUCCUCAAAUGGUAGAGAGAGAGAGAGAGACAGAGAGAGACAGAGAGAGGCAGAGAGAGAGAGAGAGGGAGCAAGCUCUCUUGAGCCUCUUAUCAGGGCACUAAUCCCAUCUUGAGGGGUCCCUCCUCAUGGCCUAAUCAAUCAUCUCCCAAACGCCUCAACUCCCAACACCAUCAUGUUUUGGGUGAGGGUUUCAGCACAUGAAUUUGGAGGGGACACAGACAUUCAGUGUGCAGAGGCUGCCACUGUGCCUCUCUGUCCCCAUCCCUUUCCUGACACCUUAGGGUGUGUGUCCCCACAGGCAAGCAAUGUCCUUCAGCAUCUCUUCCCAGGAGCCCCUGAGCACCCGCUUCCCUCUCACUUUAUUACUGCUCCUAUCCAUACAGGUUUGGGCAGGAGAACAGGAGCCACACUCAGUAUUUAGAGAAAAGAGAGACAGAGAGCACAAGCGAGAGAGAUUGACUUAAUCCAGGAAAUUAGAGGCUCACACAGACAUUGGAAGGGAGCGGUGAAGGUUAGUUUUAGGAAACCCAGAAGUGCAGAGAUGAUGAGGAAGCCCCGAAAUGCCCCUGGCAGCCCGCAGUGCCCAGUGAGCCAUUCCCAGGGAACGCCUGGGAACCGCCAGAGGCUGACAAGCCUGGAACCACUGGGGGAGGGGACCUGGGAAACUGGGGAGAACAUGGAGGUGACGGGAUGAUGCUGAGUUGAAACGGACAACCCAAUGCAGGCUUCCUCUCCUUGCUUCUCAGCCCAGCAGGGCGGCUGGCUCAUUUGUGGGAUUUAUCAUCAACCAAGGGUUUUCAGGGGGUUGAAAAUGGCUCAUUAUCCCUCCUAGAUAAUGUUGCCUCUUAGUAGAGGAUUUGAUGCUUUGACCCAGACAUGAUUCCUCCUGUGGGCAUGACAAUAUAUAUUUUUUCUUUUCAACUUUUAGUCUAAGUUCCAGGGUACAUGUGCAGGAUGUGCAGGUUUGUUACAUAGGUAGAUGUGUGCCAUGGUGGUUUGCUUUGAAGCAGAGACUGGUGGGUGCGUAGCAAGGCCAGCUCCGCCCUGCUCCAGCCUCUCCUGGCUCUGCCCCCUGCCCUCCACUCAGCACUUGGUUUCUGCAGUCACCUCCCCUCUCCGGUCUCUCCGGGUAUGGCCCCUCUCUGGGUCACUCCCAUCAGCAUUCAUCCUCGUCUCCAGGCAUGGGAGGCCUCCGUGACCCCAUGCCCCUGAGCACCGCUGCCCUAUUUCUCUGGUCCCUUUUGUGGCCAGAGUCCUCAGAAGAGCUGGCUGCCCACCGCCUCUCCUCCCGCCCCUCUGCUGAGGCUGUAUCGUGACCACGCCACCCCCCUGCCACAUCAGGGGGCCUGCCCUCUGUCCUCCUCUUUUGUUUCCUCUUCGUUGCUUUUCUCACGCUUGGCCCUUCAUCCCUUCUCUCCUGGGCUCCCCGGACCUCUGCGCAUGGGUUUCUUUCUGCCCCUGUCUCUUUCCCUGCAUUCUUGUCCUCUUCUCGGCAUUCUGUUUUCAGUCUGUCCCUCUGCCAUGUGACUGAUCAGUACACGUGAGUACAUGGGAUAUGUUCCCCAAACCAUGGAGGCUGGGCUUAGCCAUGUGACCUGCUUUGGCCAAGGAUGUUUUGACAGCACUGCACAAGCAGAGGUCUCCGCUGUGCUUCUGCAGUGGCGGGGCUCCCCCCCGGGGCUCCUGUCACCUGCCUGGGGAGAACGUGCCCCAGGCAUGGCCCUUCCAGAGAGUGUGGAAUCCCCGGGGAAGCCCAGAUGAUCCACAGCCAGACGCUGGCUGAGGUUGAGAAACUGGCACUUGUUGAUGUCAGCCACCGAGUUUGGAGUUUUGGAGUGGCUUGUCAGACAGCAGCAUUGUAGCAAUGGCCGAAUCAUCCAUGAAGACGCUGAAUUUCAUUUUUGUUUUUUGUUACGGCAGCAUAACUUUGCUGAUCUGGUCUGUGACAAAAUAACUUUUUCCUCUGUCAGUCUUUCUCUUUUCAUU